Molecule: long non-coding RNA, 544 nt
Organism: Lagenorhynchus albirostris (white-beaked dolphin)
Lineage: Eukaryota; Metazoa; Chordata; Mammalia; Artiodactyla; Delphinidae
Exons: 3
Source: RefSeq, a predicted model, not a curated record
UGUUUACUCACUCAAGUUCAUUCGACAUCUUCCUGCUCCCAGGCUCCCAGGCUUGACGGAUGGAUCGGCACCGCGCACCAAGGCUCUGCUGACCGCUCGUCUCUAAUUCUUGCCUGACACAGACAUUCCCUGCCCAGGGAAGUGUUUGAUUUAUGUUGAGGUUUCAGUGUCGGGAUUCUGCUGACAGGAGUUAAACUGGGGACUUGGGGAUUCAGAUGAGGAUUUCCUUGCGGAACUACAGAGGAAAAAUGUCCAAGGCCUGGCUUGGACGGAGGGGGUCCUGGUACCCCAGUGCUUAAUGGAAGAAGCAUUCAUCACGGAAACAGAAGACAGGAAAAGGGAAACAAGGACAGGAUGACCCAGGGCUUCUAAAACCCCUUUCCCUCUGAGAGCUCCGGGCUCUACCCUAUGGUCACUACGAACCUCAGAGAGAAACUCAGGAACAGAGAGGUUCAUUGACUGCAUGCAACUCACACAGCAAAUCGGGGAUCCAUUUCAUUUGCUUUCCAUCGAAGAUCCUGUUGCUUACUAUACAUCCCACAAC